Molecule: unclassified non-coding RNA, 358 nt
Filed under: soil metagenome
Description: partial contains 5.8S ribosomal RNA, internal transcribed spacer 2, and large subunit ribosomal RNA
Rfam family: 5.8S ribosomal RNA (bases 1-120)
Source: RNAcentral
GAUGAAGAACGUAGCGAAAUGCGAUAAGUAAUGUGAAUUGCAGAAUUCAGUGAAUCAUCGAAUCUUUGAACGCACAUUGCGCCCGUCAGUAUUCUGGCGGGCAUGCCUGUUCGAGCGUCAUUACGCCCCUCAAGUCCCCUGUGGACUUGGUGUUGGGGAUCGGCGAGGCUGGUUUUCCAGCACAGCCGUCCCUUAAAUUAAUUGGCGGUCUCGCCGUGGCCCUCCUCUGCGCAGUAGUAAAACACUCGCAACAGGAGCCCGGCGCGGUCCACUGCCGUAAAACCCCCCAACUUUUUAUAGUUGACCGCGAAUCAGGUAGGACUACCCGCUGAACUUAAGCAUAUCAAUAAGCGGAGGA